AUGAACGCUGGCGGCGUGCUUAACACCUGCAAGUCGAACGAAGCAUUUAAGACAGAUUACUUCGGUUUGAAGUCUUUUAUGACUGAGUGGCGGACGGGUGAGUAACGCGUGGGUAACCUGCCUCAUACAGGGGGAUAGCAGCUGGAAACGGCUGGUAAUACCGCAUAAGCGCACAGUACCACAUGGUACAGUGUGAAAAACUCCGGUGGUAUGAGAUGGACCCGCGUCUGAUUAGCUUGUUGGCGGGGUAACGGCCCACCAAGGCGACGAUCAGUAGCCGACCUGAGAGGGUGACCGGCCACAUUGGGACUGAGACACGGCCCAGACUCCUACGGGAGGCAGCAGUGGGGAAUAUUGCACAAUGGAGGAAACUCUGAUGCAGCGACGCCGCGUGAGUGAAGAAGUAGUUCGCUAUGUAAAGCUCUAUCAGCAGGGAAGAUAGUGACGGUACCUGACUAAGAAGCUCCGGCUAAAUACGUG
RNAcentral lists this ribosomal RNA (480 nucleotides) under uncultured bacterium. Its description in RNAcentral is "partial 16S ribosomal RNA". It matches the Rfam family "Bacterial small subunit ribosomal RNA", at positions 29 to 507 of the family's 1533-position model. The record is from RNAcentral.